GAUCACAUAUGUUCUGUUUACUCUUGAGUUUAUGGAUGGAACAAUAUGUAGCCAUUAUUACCAUUAUUACAUGAUUCUUGAUGAGAAUGAUAACCCUCCAGUUUUCCAGAGACAACAAUAUAACGCAACAAUACCUGAGAAUUUUCCGGUAAACCAAAUAAUACCAAAUUUGAAUAUAACAGCUACUGAUGCUGAUGACAAUCCCAACCUAGAAUAUUCUUUGAAACCUGCUGGCCAG
Long non-coding RNA from Octopus bimaculoides (California two-spot octopus), 238 nucleotides. NCBI's taxonomy places the organism in Eukaryota, Metazoa, Mollusca, Cephalopoda, Octopoda, Octopodidae. The record is from RefSeq and is a predicted model, not a curated record.